CGUAGGUCAGCCUGGCAGUGUUAGCUGCUUGCCUGCGAAAGCCCUCCCAGUGCAUGCUUGGUUAAGGCUGGCAGAGCAUUCCAUCCACCACAGAGGCCAAGGGCUUCUUACAUGGACUGGAACUUCCUGUAUCAGGGGAGGCCCCAUGGGGGCUGUAUGGGGUUUCUAAGAAGGCAGGCGCUGGGACCCCAUAGUUUCCACAGCUGAGUGGGCUCCAGUCCCUCAGGAAUGGCAGAAGAGAAAUGAAGAGGGCAGAGAGGAUUGGCUGAGGACGACCCCUCACUGAAGACUGUUCUUUCAGCUCUGGGAAGAGUCAGCACUGGUGCUGUGUGAGGAAGAGAUGCUGUGGGCAGCCAAUGGUCUGAGAGAGCGGUGGUGACCGGAACCAGGACACAGCUGCAAAGUUAUAGAUGUCGGGUGACUCUGAGGCUCGAGGAGAGGAAGACGAAGAUCUGAGCCCGCCAUGAGGGAUCUGAGCUGAGGUGAGAUCAGUCCGGAAGGAUGCACAUCACUGACUCCACAGGCUGUGUGGUAGGAGGGACUGUCCUGACCCAGUGCUGUCUGUCUGUCCUCAGGGGCCAACCUAACCAUCAGCUUUCUGCCUCAGUGGAGAUUCUGCCUGCCCACUUCCUUCCAAAGAGCAGGGUUUGGGGGCACACACGUUGGAUCACUCUCCAGAGGCAUCAGCAAUCAACCCUGUCGCUAUGCACUUGAUCCACGGUUGCUGCUGAGGAGUUCCUGGUUCAUCACGUGGCCGUGCUGAGGAGCCACAGAGAAGCCUCAUUCAAAGUGGAGCGCAAACAACUUGUAGCAAGCCUGAAAGUCGCUAUAAUUGCAGACUGUUGACACUGGUCAUGUGUACACACCUGUGCCCGUGUACAAGCAUAGACUCACCUGCAUGCUGUUAUCUUACCCACUGUGAGGUCGAGGCUAGUGCUGGGACACACACCAGCUCGUGUGAUCCAGCUUCCUUUUCUUUCUCCUCCCUCAGCCCCAAACCCUAAUAAUGAUCACUUAUUGAGUGCCUACUGUGUGGCAGGCAAGAUACCAGCCUGCUGAUUCAUCAAUUUGCACCAAGGUUGUAGGGGUAGAGGAGCUGACUUUCCAAACAUGGCCAAACCGAAUCGAUCCUGUCGAUUAUUAAUAUCUGUGGUAGGUGCAGGAAGGGAGUACUGAUAAAGGUGCUUCAUGUGUGCCUUAAUUUGUGAGGCAUAUAAUAUUGCAUGCUUUCUAUUUAAUCAUGGGUCAUUUAGUAAGUUGCCCCCAAAACUUUUGUGGAAUAAGACUUUGUGUAACUAAGUAACGACCGUUCAUUAUAAAUAAGUAUUGAGUGAUUGGACAUCAGUUAUUUCUGUAGGUAGAAACCUACAGAGGUUAUUGCAGAUGGAAAGAACUGGGUUCCAGGGCUAGAUUGCCGUUAGCCUAUAGAAUGGUUCUGUAUGUAUCAGGAAAGAAUGUCUGUUUGAGGGAUCGUAUCUCAGAGCAUAGCACAGCAUGGAUUUUAGCCCUUUUUACCUCAUUAUCCCAGGUGCUCUUGCU
This 1539-nucleotide long non-coding RNA is filed under the name Mus spicilegus (steppe mouse). RNAcentral's name for it is "lncRNA (ENSMSIG00000005310.1)". The record is from RNAcentral. Lineage: Eukaryota; Metazoa; Chordata; Mammalia; Rodentia; Muridae.